Molecule: ribosomal RNA, 326 nt
Filed under: uncultured Bacteroidota bacterium
Lineage: Bacteria; Pseudomonadati; Bacteroidota
Description: bacterial SSU rRNA
Rfam family: Bacterial small subunit ribosomal RNA
Source: RNAcentral
GAUGAACGCUAGCGGGAGGCUUAACACAUGCAAGUCGAGGGGUAACAUGGGGUAGCAAUACUCUGAUGACGACCGGCGUACGGGUGAGUAACGCGUAUGCAACCUACCCUGUACAGGGGGAUAACCCGGAGAAAUUCGGACUAAUAUCCCAUAAAGAUAUUUUGAGGCAUCUCGAGAUAUUUAAAGCUCAGGCGGUACGGGAUGGGCAUGCGUAACAUUAGCUAGUUGGCAGGGUAACGCCUACAAGGCAUUGAUGUUUAGGGGUCCUGAGAGGGUGAUCCCCCACACUGGUACUGAGAUACGGACCAGACUCCUACGGGUGGCUG